GAUGAACGCUGGCGGCGUGCCUAAUACAUGCAAGUAGAACGCUGAAGGAAGGAGCUUGCUCUUUCCGGAUGAGUUGCGAACGGGUGAGUAACGCGUAGGUAACCUGCCUGGUAGCGGGGGAUAACUAUUGGAAACGAUAGCUAAUACCGCAUAACAGUAGAUAUUGCAUGAUAUCUGCUUGAAAGGGGCAAUUGCUCCACUACCAGAUGGACCUGCGUUGUAUUAGCUAGUUGGUGAGGUAACGGCUCACCAAGGCGACGAUACAUAGCCGACCUGAGAGGGUGGUCGGCCACACUGGGACUGAGACACGGCCCAGACUCCUACGGGAGGCAGCAGUAGGGAAUCUUCGGCAAUGGACGGAAGUCUGACCGAGCAACGCCGCGUGAGUGAAGAAGGUUUUCGGAUCGUAAAGCUCUGUUGUAAGAGAAGAACGAGUGUGAGAGUGGAAAGUUCACACUGUGACGGUAUCUUACCAGAAAGGGACGGCUAACUACGUG
This 497-nucleotide ribosomal RNA is filed under the name uncultured bacterium. Its description in RNAcentral is "partial 16S ribosomal RNA". It matches the Rfam family "Bacterial small subunit ribosomal RNA", at positions 28 to 507 of the family's 1533-position model. The record is from RNAcentral.